CAUGUUGAAACACAGCUUCCCAUACGAUCACCAAUGUUAAGCAAUAUUGACACUGGUUAGUACCUAGGUGGGUUACUGCUUGGGAAUACCAGGUGCUGCAG
Acanthosepion pharaonis is the source of this 101-nucleotide non-coding RNA. The record is from the annotation of a GenBank genome assembly. Lineage: Eukaryota; Metazoa; Mollusca; Cephalopoda; Sepiida; Sepiidae.